RNAcentral lists this ribosomal RNA (392 nucleotides) under uncultured bacterium. RNAcentral's name for it is "partial 16S ribosomal RNA". It matches the Rfam family "Bacterial small subunit ribosomal RNA", at positions 523 to 918 of the family's 1533-position model. The record is from RNAcentral.
AUACGGAGGAUCCGAGCGUUAUCCGGAUUUAUUGGGUUUAAAGGGUGCGCAGGCGGCCAUUUAAGUCAGCGGUUAAAUCUUGGGGCUCAACCCCGUUCUGCCGUUGAUACUGGGUGGCUUGAUUGCGGUCGAGGUUGGCGGAAUUCGUUGUGUAGCGGUGAAAUGCAUAGAUAUGACGAAGAACACCGAUUGCGUAGGCAGCUGACCAGACCGCAAAUGACGCUCAUGCACGAAAGUGCUGGGAUCGAACAGGAUUAGAUACCCUGGUAGUCCGCACAGUAAACGAUGAAUACUUGUUUUCGGCGAUAUAAUGUCGGAGGCAAAGCGAAAGCGAUAAGUAUUCCACCUGGGGAGUACGCCGGCAACGGUGAAACUCAAAUGAAUUGGCGGGG